This 497-nucleotide ribosomal RNA is filed under the name uncultured bacterium. RNAcentral describes it as "partial 16S ribosomal RNA". It matches the Rfam family "Bacterial small subunit ribosomal RNA", at positions 28 to 507 of the family's 1533-position model. The record is from RNAcentral.
GACGAACGCUGGCGGCGUGCCUAAUACAUGCAAGUAGAACGCUGAAGAGAGGAGCUUGCUCUUCUUGGAUGAGUUGCGAACGGGUGAGUAACGCGUAGGUAACCUGCCUUGUAGCGGGGGAUAACUAUUGGAAACGAUAGCUAAUACCGCAUAACAAUGGAUGACACAUGUCAUUUAUUUGAAAGGGGCAAUUGCUCCACUACAAGAUGGACCUGCGUUGUAUUAGCUAGUAGGUGAGGUAAUGGCUCACCUAGGCGACGAUACAUAGCCGACCUGAGAGGGUGAUCGGCCACACUGGGACUGAGACACGGCCCAGACUCCUACGGGAGGCAGCAGUAGGGAAUCUUCGGCAAUGGGGGCAACCCUGACCGGGCAACGCCGCGUGAGUGAAGAAGGGUUUCGGAUCGUAAAGCUCGGUUGUAAGUCAAGAACGGGUGUGAGAGUGGAAAGUUCACACUGUGACGGUAGCUGACCAGAAAGGGACGGCUAACUACGUG